Molecule: ribosomal RNA, 253 nt
Filed under: uncultured bacterium
Lineage: Bacteria
Description: partial 16S ribosomal RNA
Rfam family: Bacterial small subunit ribosomal RNA
Source: RNAcentral
UACAGAGGUCCCAAGCGUUGUUCGGAUUCACUGGGCGUAAAGGGUGCGUAGGUGGUCGGGUAAGUCUGAUGUGAAAUCUCCGAGCUUAACUCGGAAAUGGCAUUGGAUACUAUUCGGCUGGAGGGUUGGAGGGGGGACUGGAAUUUACGGUGUAGCGGUGAAAUGCGUAGAUAUCGUAAGGAAGACCAGUGGCGAAGGCGGGUCUCUGGACAGUUCCUGACGCUGAGGCACGAAGGUCAGGGGAGCAAACGGG